CGGAACGUGCCCUGGAGUGGGGGAUAACGCAGCGAAAGUUGCGCUAAUACCGCAUACGAUCUACGGAUGAAAGUGGGGGAUUCGCAAGAACCUCAUGCUCGUGGAGCGGCCGAUAUCUGAUUAGCUAGUUGGUGGGGUAAAGGCCCACCAAGGCAUCGAUCAGUAGCUGGUCUGAGAGGACGACCAGCCACACUGGAACUGAGACACGGUCCAG
Molecule: ribosomal RNA, 214 nt
Filed under: uncultured bacterium
Lineage: Bacteria
Description: partial 16S ribosomal RNA
Rfam family: Bacterial small subunit ribosomal RNA
Source: RNAcentral